This 1258-nucleotide long non-coding RNA is filed under the name Sus scrofa (pig). Its description in RNAcentral is "lncRNA (ENSSSCG00030000396.1)". Lineage: Eukaryota; Metazoa; Chordata; Mammalia; Artiodactyla; Suidae. The record is from RNAcentral.
UAGGGCAUAUGGAGGUUCCCAGGCCGGGGGUUGAAUCGGAGCUGUAGUCGCUGGCCUAUGGUACAGCCACAGCAACAUCAGAUCUGAGUCACAUCUGUGACCUACACCGCAGCUCACGGCAACAACGGAUCCUUAACCCACUGAGUGAGGCCAGGGAUUGAACCUGCAUCCUCAUGGAUGUAGUCAGAUUCAUUUCCACUGAGCCACGAUGGGAACUCUGAGAGCAGAUCUUAAAAGUGCUCAUCUUAAAAAAAAAAAAAGUGCGUCUAACUGUGCAGUGACAGAUGUUAACUUGUUUUGGUUAUCAUUUCACAAUAUAUAUAAAUAUCAAAAACACUGUAUACCUGAAAUUAAUAUAAUGUUAUACAUCAAUUAUACCUCAAUUAAAACAAACAGGAAAAGAAAAGUCUAGAGUUGUAGUUGGUUUGUUCCCCUGCACAGCUCUGGAGUGACCUAUGGGUUUUGCCUCUGGGUACUUGCAUGUGCUUUGUCCUCUGACUAGGUAGCCAUUCUACCCUUUUGGCCCAAUUAAUAUCCCUUCCUCGUUCACAGUUCAGCUUUAAUGUCACCUCCUCAGGGAAGUCUUCCCUGAUUUUGCAGACUAGCUUCAGUCCCCCUGUCAAUGUCCUUACAUCAUUCAUUCAUGUUUUUUUUCCUUCACUUAAACAUUCAAAUACUUGUCCAACAAACAUCCACAGAGCACCUUCCCUGCUCUGGGAUUUGUUCCAGACACUGGGGACACAGCCCCUGUUUUCAUGGAGCUCACCAUUUGGGGAUCAUUCAAUAAACAAAUAAACAGACAACAUAACUUCAGAUUGAUACGCGUAUGAAGUAAACAAACAGGGUGACAUGGUAAGAGAGUGCCUGGUGGGGGCUUCUCUGAGGAGGUGAUGUUUGAAUCAAUAUUGGGGGGCGGGUGUACCACACUCACGGCAUAUGGAAAUUCCCAGGCUAGGGGUCAAAUAGGAGCCACAGCUGCCGGCCUAUACCACAGAGCCAUAGGAAGAUCUGGAAAAGAUGAGGGAGAGGGAGCAGCAAGUGCAAAGGCCUUGGGGCAGGAACAUACCCGGCAUAACUGAGAAACAGCCAGGAGGCCACUGCGGCUGGAAGCACAUGGGGAAAAGUGAGCUCAGAAACUUAAGGCGGUGGCAGGUUGUGCAGGGCCUUGAGGCCACACUAAGUCUCAGCUCUCAUCGCUAUUUGCAGUUCUGCUUUUUCACCACUAUUGGAGUGGCGUUUUGCUUUUGAUUGUGAGUUC